RNAcentral lists this ribosomal RNA (897 nucleotides) under Thermococcus siculi. RNAcentral's name for it is "bacterial SSU rRNA". It matches the Rfam family "Archaeal small subunit ribosomal RNA", at positions 1 to 896 of the family's 1478-position model. The record is from RNAcentral. Lineage: Archaea; Methanobacteriati; Methanobacteriota; Thermococci; Thermococcales; Thermococcaceae.
UUCGGUUGAUCCUGCCGGAGGCCACUGCUAUGGGGGUCCGACUAAGCCAUGCGAGUCAUGGGGCGCGCUCUGCGCGCACCGGCGGACGGCUCAGUAACACGUCGGUAACCUACCCUCGGGAGGGGGAUAACCCCGGGAAACUGGGGCUAAUCCCCCAUAGGCCUGAGGUACUGGAAGGUCCUCAGGCCGAAAGGGUCUCUGACCGCCCGAGGAUGGGCCGGCGGCCGAUUAGGUAGUUGGUGGGGUAACGGCCCACCAAGCCGAAGAUCGGUACGGGCCAUGAGAGUGGGAGCCCGGAGAUGGACACUGAGACACGGGUCCAGGCCCUACGGGGCGCAGCAGGCGCGAAACCUCCGCAAUGCGGGCAACCGCGACGGGGGGACCCCCAGUGCCGUGGCAUCGCCACGGCUUUUCCGGAGUGUAAAGAGCUCCGGGAAUAAGGGCUGGGCAAGGCCGGUGGCAGCCGCCGCGGUAAUACCGGCGGCCCGAGUGGUGGCCGCUAUUAUUGGGCCUAAAGCGUCCGUAGCCGGGCCCGUAAGUCCCUGGCGAAAUCCCACGGCUCAACCGUGGGGCUUGCUGGGGAUACUGCGGGCCUUGGGACCGGGAGAGGCGGAGGGUACUCCUGGGGUAGGGGUGAAAUCCUAUAAUCCCAGGAGGACCGCCAGUGGCGAAGGCGCUCCGCUGGAACGGGUCCGACGGUGAGGGACGAAGGCCAGGGGAGCGAACCGGAUUAGAUACCCGGGUAGUCCUGGCUGUAAAGGAUGCGGGCUAGGUGUCGGGCGAGCUUCGAGCUCGCCCGGUGCCGAAGGGAAGCCGUUAAGCCCGCCGCCUGGGGAGUACGGCCGCAAGGCUGAAACUUAAAGGAAUUGGCGGGGAGCACUACGACCCGAGCUCGAU